This 497-nucleotide ribosomal RNA is filed under the name uncultured bacterium. RNAcentral's name for it is "partial 16S ribosomal RNA". It matches the Rfam family "Bacterial small subunit ribosomal RNA", at positions 28 to 507 of the family's 1533-position model. The record is from RNAcentral.
GAUGAACGCUGGCGGCGUGCCUAAUACAUGCAAGUCGAGCGAACAGAUGAGGAGCUUGCUCCUCUGACGUUAGCGGCGGACGGGUGAGUAACACGUGGAUAACCUACCUAUAAGACUGGGAUAACUUCGGGAAACCGGAGCUAAUACCGGAUAAUAUAUUGAACCGCAUGGUUCAAUAGUGAAAGACGGUUUUGCUGUCACUUAUAGAUGGAUCCGCGCCGCAUUAGCUAGUUGGUAAGGUAACGGCUUACCAAGGCGACGAUGCGUAGCCGACCUGAGAGGGUGAGCGGCCACACUGGAACUGAGACACGGUCCAGACUCCUACGGGAGGCAGCAGUAGGGAAUCUUCCGCAAUGGGCGAAAGCCUGACGGAGCAACGCCGCGUGAGUGAUGAAGGUCUUCGGAUCGUAAAACUCUGUUAUUAGGGAAGAACAAAUGUGUAAGUAACUAUGCACGUCUUGACGGUACCUAAUCAGAAAGCCACGGCUAACUACGUG